Molecule: ribosomal RNA, 253 nt
Filed under: uncultured bacterium
Lineage: Bacteria
Description: partial 16S ribosomal RNA
Rfam family: Bacterial small subunit ribosomal RNA
Source: RNAcentral
UACAGAGGGUGCGAGCGUUAAUCGGAAUUACUGGGCGUAAAGCGCGCGUAGGCGGCUUUGCAAGUCGGGUGUGAAAUCCCCAGGCUUAACCUGGGAACUGCAUUCGAGACUGCAUUGCUAGAGUAUGGGAGAGGGAAGUGGGAUUUCCGGUGUAGCGGUGAAAUGCGCAGAUAUCAGGAGGAACACCUAUUGCGAAGGCAGCUCGCUGGGACGUUACUGACGCUGAGACGCGAAAGCGUGGGGAGCAAACAGG